Molecule: non-coding RNA, 144 nt
Organism: Arachis ipaensis
Lineage: Eukaryota; Viridiplantae; Streptophyta; Magnoliopsida; Fabales; Fabaceae
Source: RefSeq, a predicted model, not a curated record
AAACUAUAAAAUUGCUAUAGGUGCUGCUAAAGGUCUUUCUUUCUUGCAUGGAGCUGACAAACCUGUCAUUUACAGGGAUUUUAAGACUUCCAAUGUCUUGCUUGAUUCCGAUUUCACAGCAAAACUCUCAGACUUUGGAUUAGC